UAAAGCUCUGACCUUCGGGGAAGAGUGCAUUUAUUAGAACAAAACCAAGCGGCUUCGGCUGUUUUCGGUUGACUCAUAGUAACUGAGCUGAUCGCAUGGUCUUGCACCGGCGACGUGUCGUUCAAGUAUCUGCCGUAUCAACUUUCGAUGGUAGUGUAUCUGACUACCAUGGUGAUCACGCGUAACGGAGAAUAAGGGUUCGACUCCGGAGAGUUCGCCUGAGAAAUCGCGAACACAUCUAAGGAAGGCAGCAGGCGCGAAAAUUACCCACUCUCAGCACGAGGAGGUAGUGACGAAAAAUAACGAGACUGUUCUCUUAUGAGGCCAGUCAUCGGAAUGGGUACAAUUUAAACCCUUUAACGAGUAUCUAUGAGAGGGCAAGUCUGGUGCCAGCAGCCGCGGUAAUUCCAGCUCUCAAAGUGCAUAGAAUUAUUGCUGCGGUUAAAAAGCUCGUAGUUGGAUCUGUGCCAUAGGACUGGGUCUACCUUCGGGUCAGUACUCAGCUCCUAGGCUUUUUGUCGGUUUUCCCGUCGUAGCCUUCGCUGGUUGCGGCGGGUGGCUGACGAGUUUACUUUGAGAAAAUCAGAGUGCUCAACACAGGCGUCUAGCUUGAAUGAUUGUGCAUGGAAUAAUAGAAAAGGAUUUCGGUCCCUCUUUAU
This 659-nucleotide ribosomal RNA is filed under the name Nematoda environmental sample. Its description in RNAcentral is "SSU rRNA". It matches the Rfam family "Eukaryotic small subunit ribosomal RNA", at positions 174 to 844 of the family's 1831-position model. Lineage: Eukaryota; Metazoa; Nematoda. The record is from RNAcentral.